RNAcentral lists this transfer RNA (87 nucleotides) under Thermoleophilum album. RNAcentral's name for it is "tRNA_Leu_CAG". It matches the Rfam family "tRNA". Rfam says of the family: Transfer RNA (tRNA) molecules are approximately 80 nucleotides in length. Their secondary structure includes four short double-helical elements and three loops (D, anti-codon, and T loops). Further hydrogen bonds mediate the characteristic L-shaped molecular structure. tRNAs have two regions of fundamental functional importance: the anti-codon, which is responsible for specific mRNA codon recognition, and the 3' end, to which the tRNAs corresponding amino acid is attached (by aminoacyl-tRNA synthetases). tRNAs cope with the degeneracy of the genetic code in two manners: having more than one tRNA (with a specific anti-codon) for a particular amino acid; and 'wobble' base-pairing, i.e. permitting non-standard base-pairing at the 3rd anti-codon position. The record is from RNAcentral. Lineage: Bacteria; Bacillati; Actinomycetota; Thermoleophilia; Thermoleophilales; Thermoleophilaceae.
GCGGAUGUGGUGGAACUGGUAGACACGCGGUCCUCAGGAGGCCGUGGGCGAAAGCCCGUGGGGGUUCGAAUCCCUCCAUCCGCACCU